GAUGAAGAACGUAGUGAAAUGCGAUACUUGGUGUGAAUUGCAGAAUCCCGUGAACCAUCGAGUCUUUGAACGCAAGUUGCGCCCGAAGCCACUAGGCCGAGGGCACGCCUGCCUGGGCGUCACACGUCGUUGCCCCCCCCCCAUCUACUCCUUCGGGAUUGCGGGGGGCGGAUGAUGGCCUCCCGUGCGCCUAGCCGCGCGGUUGGCAUAAAUACCAAGUCCUCGGCGACGCACGCCACGACAAUCGGUGGUUGCGAAACCUCGGUUGCCCGUCGUGUGCGUUCGUCGCGCAUCGAGGGCUCGAAAAAAUGCUCGGCUCCGGCUCGGCUUUCAACGCGACCCCAGGUCAGGCGGGGUUACCCGCUGAAUUUAAGCAUAUCAAUAAGCGGAGGA
RNAcentral lists this unclassified non-coding RNA (393 nucleotides) under soil metagenome. RNAcentral describes it as "partial contains 5.8S ribosomal RNA, internal transcribed spacer 2, and large subunit ribosomal RNA". The stretch from base 1 to 122 matches the Rfam family "5.8S ribosomal RNA", at positions 35 to 154 of the family's 154-position model. The record is from RNAcentral.